CAGUCGCCGCGGUAACACGUAGGGUGCAAGCGUUAAUCGGAAUUAUUGGGCGUAAAGCGAGUGCAGACGGUUACUUAAGCCAGAUGUGAAAUCCCCAAGCUUAACUUGGGACGUGCAUUUGAAACUGGGUGACUAGAGUGUGUCAGAGGGAGGUAGAAUUCCACAUGUAGCGGUGGAAUGCGUAGAGAUGUGGAGGAAUACCGAUGGCGAAGGCAGCCUCCUGGGAUAACACUGACACUGAGAGACGAAAGCUAGGGGAGCAAAUGGGAUUAGAUACCCCGGUAGUCCCUGUCUCUUAUAC
Molecule: ribosomal RNA, 301 nt
Filed under: uncultured bacterium
Lineage: Bacteria
Description: partial 16S ribosomal RNA
Rfam family: Bacterial small subunit ribosomal RNA
Source: RNAcentral